This is a long non-coding RNA of Macaca mulatta (Rhesus monkey), 1848 nucleotides long. The record is from Ensembl. Lineage: Eukaryota; Metazoa; Chordata; Mammalia; Primates; Cercopithecidae.
CCACACACAAAGCCGCUUGCAAAAUAAAGCCACAUUUGAGCCCAGGCCAGGGAUGAUGUUGAAAACAAUGCAGCUAAUAAGUCACUGGCUGCUGGAUGAAAUCAAACUGUUUUUGUUUUGUGGCAGUUUCUCAGCUUCUGGGGCAGCUCUUCCGCCCCAGGGGGAGAGCCUUGUGUCAGCCUCUGUCUUCCUCCGCUCCAGAGAUGCUGCCGCGUCCCCACAGGCCUGGGGCUCCUAGGGCAGACCUCAGUAACCCACACAUAUACUCAGUCACAUCUUCCACAGCAUGGGCUAAAUCACACCCUAGACCCAACCCCAAAAAGAAGAAAAAAUACCAGUUCCAUCCAGUGGCAAGAAACCUCAAAGGUGCAGAUGUCCAAAGCCGUCUAGUGGUUUGAUAUUUGCCCAGAGGCCUCACCCAUUGCUAUAGCCACGUGUCUAGGACUGAGCUGUGCACCGCUCUGGGCAUGGUGGAGGCCGCUGUAAGGAGACGACCCUUGCUUCGCAGGAAGGGGAGCCUGAAAUUCCCAGGGGCCGGAGGAGGCUGCACCGGAACUGCACCCCACCCAGGACUGCUGAGCUGAGAGGGUGCUGCCGCAGUGAAGGCUCUGCCACCUCACACUGUCAGGUCCCAAGCCUGUGAUCGCACCAGGAGAGGGUCAGAUUGUGCCUGGUGGGGUGGGCCCUGACUCUGCACUUUCCACCCUGUCCAAGAGACUUUGGGUCGCAUCUCUCUACAUAGCAGAAGAGUGGGGACAUAGGAGCCUGCCUCACGGAGUUGUGGGGUGGCCUGGGAGCAGGCUGGCCCCUGUGGGGAUUCUGUGGCCCGGCUCCCACCCACCAUGCCCCUGCCCAGCAGCCUCCCUGCAGGCUCCUGAGGGUUCAACCUGGUGCACAAUCUUCAGGCCUCUCCUGCCUUGACCUGCAGCCCUCCACACCCCAGACACACCCUUCUUCAGUGCUGUUGUUUUUUCAUUAUUAAAAUGUUAUAAGAGGAAUACAUUUUAGUUGCUUAAAUUCUGCAAUAGUGAAACAAUAAAGAUGGAGAUCACUCCUCCAGUUCCAUUCUACUCCUCAGAGCUACGUACCGUUGACAGUUGUACAUUUCACUCCAGAAAUACCUAUGACUGCACGCAGUUACAUAUGCAGGGAUUACAGGCGUGUAUACAUCCGUGUGACUGCGCACGCAGGAUUAUAAAAAUCAGAAACCAGCCCGUGCUGCCCGUGCUGUCGUGCAUCUUGAUGUUAUUUUCACUGGCUGAGUUGGAAGCAUUUCUCAAUGCCAGCGGGGCAGGCUUUGUGUUGGCUGCAUAGUUUUCUGUUGUGCAACGUCCUCCCUGCUGACAAGCAAUUAGAUGGCGCCACUUCCUUCCUUUGCUCAUACAAACCCUGAGGCACUGAACAUCCUAAAAGCGAAAUUUCUGGGUCCCAAGGAGUGUGCAUUUCUGAAUAUCACAAAGUGACCCAGCUGCCUCACAUCCUCCAUGGGGACCACACUCUGUCUUACUAUAGGAGAUCCUGGGAGCCCCACAUCCUUGCCAGUGCAGCACUACUAUUCCUUUCAAUUUUGCCCCCAAUGUAUUCUUGCUGUUUUAUUUUGAUUUCCCAGGUGACUGAGGAGGUGAAGCAUCUCUUCAGCCAUUCGCUGGCUAUGAGAAUUUCUUACCCUACAAACUGCCCAUUUCUUUCCUUUACCCAUUUUUUUCUACUGGGUUAUGUGAGUUUCUACUGACUGACUUAUAGAAGCCCAUUAUAUGUUAUGAUAUUAAUCUGUUGUCUGUGGUACAUGCUUUCAGUCUUUUCUCCCGGUCCAUCAGAUAUCUUUUAACUUUGUUUAUCAUGUAUUUG